CCAUGGUUAGCCGAAUGCACUUUUCCCUAGUCAAAUACAUAAGAGGAUAGAUACACCAGCUGGAGAAUGGUGGCUGCAACCAUCAUCUGCUUAAAAUUUCACAUCUGUAGAAGUUCCUUUAACCAUCACCUUCUGUGAAUUUUGUCAGAUAACUUUGGUUUUCAUUUAAAGAAUAGGCAACAUGUCAGUGAGACGUCAGAGGAUCUAACAUCGAGACAUGCUUUACAGGCCUAAAGAAUUCAAGAAUUCAGAGAUUCCCCUUGAAAAAUAUAACCUCAUUUGUGGUGAUUCUGGUGAACAUGCAGAAACAAUUCCCUUUUGUCCUUUUGUUUGUCAGUAACCGAUGUACUUAUAUGACUAAUCUAUUACUACAUUUGUCUAUUUCUGUGGAGUUUAUGUGGUCUGGAUGAAAGAUCAGGUUUGAGAAUAUCCCAUCUUCAUUUUUUGCCUAGUUUCUUUUAUAUCUCUCCAGCAGGCUUCUUUUCCUAAGAUUAGGAAAAGCUCGAAGUUCAAGACGUCAAGAAGGCGGGUCCCCCGAAAUUCCCUGUGUUCAUAUGAGGCGAGGCUUGCAAGCGCCAAGCACACCUGAGAUGCGUCCCUCUUAGCGAAGUAAAACAUCCCAGUUGAAGCAGGUGUCGAGAAUUGAAAAGCUCGGUGCUGAGGGGUACCCAGUGAACUGUCUCAAGAACUCAGCCUUCACACAUGUGUACACAGAUGGGGGCAGCCUCGUGAUCACGGUCCCUGAGUCGAUCAAGACCCCG
Molecule: long non-coding RNA, 761 nt
Organism: Salvia splendens (bonfire salvia)
Lineage: Eukaryota; Viridiplantae; Streptophyta; Magnoliopsida; Lamiales; Lamiaceae
Exons: 3
Source: RefSeq, a predicted model, not a curated record